GAUGAACGCUGGCGGCGUGCCUAAUACAUGCAAGUCGAGCGAACGGACGAGAAGCUUGCUUCUCUGAUGUUAGCGGCGGACGGGUGAGUAACACGUGGAUAACCUACCUAUAAGACUGGGAUAACUUCGGGAAACCGGAGCUAAUACCGGAUGAUAUUUUGAACCGCAUGGUUCAAAAGUGAAAGACGGUCUUGCUGUCACUUAUAGAUGGAUCCGCGCUGCAUUAGCUAGUUGGUAAGGUAACGGCUUACCAAGGCAACGAUGCAUAGCCGACCUGAGAGGGGGGGGGGCCGAACGGGAAGGGGACCCGGGUCAAGGGCACUGGGGGAGGGGGAAGACGGGAAUUUGCGGCAGUGGGGGGAAGCUUGAGGAAGCAGGCCGGGGGGAUUGACAAAGGUGUUGGGACCGGAAAACUUGUUUAUGGGGGAAAAACAUAGGUGUAAGAAAAGGUACCGAGCGUGACGGUAACUAAUAAGAAAGCAACGGCUAACUAGGUG
RNAcentral lists this ribosomal RNA (497 nucleotides) under uncultured bacterium. Its description in RNAcentral is "partial 16S ribosomal RNA". It matches the Rfam family "Bacterial small subunit ribosomal RNA", at positions 28 to 507 of the family's 1533-position model. The record is from RNAcentral.